UAAGUUAUUGGAAGGACUCGAACGCCGUCAUUCUGCCAGCGACAGUCCGGCAGUUGUCGCAGACCUCGUCCGCCAUACUCGGAAUCUCAUUAAGUCAGGCUCAGGCGAACAAUCAUCCUGGAGUGCUGCGGUGGUAGCGCGCGUUUCCCUAUGGAGUGCACUUCUCCUAGUGCAUCUCGACGACCUUGCCGCCNGAAGUGCACUCGUCGGAAUUAAUGAGCUAAUAUGCGUGUACCUUGGCCGCAGCGCAUUUCA
Molecule: unclassified non-coding RNA, 255 nt
Filed under: Hevea brasiliensis (rubber tree)
Lineage: Eukaryota; Viridiplantae; Streptophyta; Magnoliopsida; Malpighiales; Euphorbiaceae
Source: RNAcentral